RNAcentral lists this transfer RNA (76 nucleotides) under Chromobacterium violaceum. RNAcentral's name for it is "tRNA-Lys". It matches the Rfam family "tRNA". Rfam says of the family: Transfer RNA (tRNA) molecules are approximately 80 nucleotides in length. Their secondary structure includes four short double-helical elements and three loops (D, anti-codon, and T loops). The record is from RNAcentral. Lineage: Bacteria; Pseudomonadati; Pseudomonadota; Betaproteobacteria; Neisseriales; Chromobacteriaceae. RNAcentral also lists the same sequence under 54 other names.
GGGUCGUUAGCUCAGCUGGUAGAGCAGCGGACUUUUAAUCCGUUGGUCGCAGGUUCGAAUCCCGCACGACCCACCA